This 710-nucleotide ribosomal RNA is filed under the name uncultured Gammaproteobacteria bacterium. RNAcentral's name for it is "bacterial SSU rRNA". It matches the Rfam family "Bacterial small subunit ribosomal RNA", at positions 56 to 759 of the family's 1533-position model. Lineage: Bacteria; Pseudomonadati; Pseudomonadota; Gammaproteobacteria. The record is from RNAcentral.
UGCAAGUCGAGCGGUAACAGGUGUAGCAAUACAUGCUGACGAGCGGCGAACGGGUGAGUAAUGCUUUGGAAUCUUCCCAGUAGUGGGGAAUAACCAGUCGAAAGAUUGGCUAAUACCGCAUACGUCUGUAAAGGGAAAGCGGGGGCUCGUAAGACCUCGCGCUAUUGGAUGAGCCAAAGUCGGAUUAGCUAGUUGGUGGGGUAAUGGCCUACCAAGGCGACAAUCCGUAGCUGGUCUGAGAGGACGACCAGCCACACCGGAACUGAGACACGGUCCGGACUCCUACGGGAGGCAGCAGUGGGGAAUAUUGGACAAUGGGGGAAACCCUGAUCCAGCGACGCCGCGUGUGUGAAGAAGGCCUGCGGGUUGUAAAGCACUUUUAGUGGGGACAAAAAGCUACGGAUUAAUACUCUGUGGUCUUGAUUUAACCCAAAGAAAAAGCACCGGCUAACUCUGUGCCAGCAGCCGCGGUAAUACAGAGGGUGCGAGCGUUAAUCGGAAUUACUGGGCGUAAAGCGCGCGUAGACGGUUCUGUAAGUCAGAUGUGAAAUCCUUGGGCUCAACCUGGGAACUGCAUUUGAGACUGCAUGGCUAGAGUAUCGAAGAGGGAAGUGGAAUUUCCGGUGUAGCGGUGAAAUGCGUAGAUAUCGGAAGGAACACCAGUGGCGAAAGCGACUUCCUGGUCGAAUACUGACGUUCAUGUGCGAAAG